AAUGAUUUCAUGAGAAGUCCAGGCUCAAGCAAAAGUGAAAGUAAACGCAGACGUUAAGGCAAAGCGUUUGCUUCUUUGUCCAGUAUGUUGGAGCUUUACCGCAUUUAGUGGAUGGAUUUUCUUCAUCGGAACAACCUCAGUAAGGAAUAACGAGAAGGAAGCGUAAUUUACGGAAAACUAUCUGCAGAGGAUUAAGCGAAGUCUUGGUGCUCUUCAAGAGGAACAAGAGUGUGAUGGUUGCCUGUAAAGGAACUACGUCUGAAACUGAGACAGACAGUCGUGCUCAGGCGAAACUUCAAAUCUGUGGGAGAAGCUGUCAGGGCCGAUCUCAACUGACGAAGACCAGUCAGGAACCUCACAUGGAGAAACAAUGGACAAAUCUGCAACAGCAGCGAACAACAUCAGGUGGAUGGAAGAGGGAAGCCUCUCACCUUAUCCAACCAGGUCAGACCAGAGAUAUCGUUGGACUCGAUCAUGCUCUCCAGCCAUGGCCUCAUCCUCAUCCUUGUCACAGGCAUGUUUCCCCUAUAAAUGCGGAGCAACAGAGACAAGUUUUAGAUAAACGAGGAAUGCUGGUUUAUGUCAUACAUUGGUGAGAACCGCCGAACUCCUGCCUCUGCCUUGAUUUACUGCUGGCUGCUGGCCGCGCAGGAGGCUGAGAGGAGUUCACGGUCAGGGCAAGCAGGGCGCGCAGGGGGGCGUUUACGCGUAGGAGUCAACGGCAAGUAUGGAGGUUGCCAAAAAACGUCUCUUGACUGAAAUUUUAUGGCGUUUCAUUUAAAAAAAAAAAAAAAAAAAAAAAGGCUCUCAAACGCACACGGACUCAAUAGGUUGUUAAAAAGUUUGAAUAACCUGCAUUUUUCAAAGCAGGACGCAUUUGGACGGCUGUGCGCAUGGAGAAAAAGUGCGCGCAUCUGCAUGCAAAUCAUGCACAUUAAAAAAGUCUCUUCAUCGCUCAUUCAAUCCAUUCUUGUUAGUAAAGAAGAGGGGAGAUGCGCUAGAAUUGCUCAAAGUUAAAUAUUUGACAAGUUGGAAGCAAAGUUUGUGUAAAUCAAUGUGGCGAGAAGUAAAAGAGUUCCAAAGAAACACCAACAAUAUAAAUAUCAGAAGACUCAUUCUCAUUCAUUAUAUAAUUGGAGUAGAAGUGAUAAUAAGUAAAUUUCACUUACAGACUGUUUGCGCUAAGAUUCCAGAAGAAAAGGAAAAUGCACGGGAAUAGUCCGUUUGGUUUAAGUUUGCUCCAGAGAAGCUUCUUCUCUCGUCUGUAAGUUAUCCUCUUGUACACCUCUUUCAAACAGAAGUGGGCACUGACUCCCGGAGCGUGGAGCCUGCUCUUUUUAUUGGGUCUCGUGGGUAUUCCCCGGCUGGGCAGGGAGGCUGUCACUGUAAGAAAUGUCAACACUAAAAAAUAACCAACAUGCAAGUCUCGUCUUCACCUUGAACCUGGAAAUUAUGCGUUAUUUGACGGUAUAUUUGCACAUUUUACGCUUCACGGUAACAUCUGUGUUAUGUAUGCUUUGAAAAAUAUCUAUAUUUUUAGCUUUGCGUGUUUUAAAUUGAAGUAGAAGAGCAGAUCACUGCUGCAGGUAGGAAAAUAGAUGCUCUUUACGCAGUGGAAUAAACACCAAAGUGUCUUUCCACCGAAGCGACUUCCACUGGAAACAGCUCAUCAUAACAUCUGCAUAUGUGCAGAUAAUUAUUCAAAAUGUAAUUUGUGCAGAUUUAAUGCAGGACGAAACGUAGAACUUUAGUUGAUGGGGUUGAUAUUUUUUACAGUGGUUGUGCGCAUGCGUCGUUCGAGCCUCUGCUGGAGCAGUAGAUCCGUUUCCGAGAAAUCACGUUGAUGAGAGCAAGGAGGAAGUUGACAACAGGGCUGAUUGCGACGGCUUGAUGCACGUAGACAAAUCAUAAAACUGGAUGGUCUGACCUGUCUGUCACACCCAUGCUUAUUUUUAUGUAAUAUUUUGUACACAUAUUUACUUGUCUUACAGUGCAGAACUUCAUUUUUUAUGCAAAUGUAAAAAUAUUUGCACAUAUCGCACAUUAAUACCAUUAAAAGUUAAUGUUUUAAUGUUCAGUUUAAAGCCGCAUAGACUGCUGCAGUAAUAUCACUUAUAAUUUUAUUAUGAUUGUGCAAAAUCGUCUUUAUUCAACUAUUAAUUUGCAUGAAAACUAUUAUGGAGAAGUCCCAUCCACCUUGCAGGUGCCAAAGUUCAUCCCCCUGGCAUGAAAAACAUGUGCAUGAGACCAGCCCUUUAGUAUAAACAGCAACCGGCUCGAGAAGUGGAGCAUUUACAAGAAAUGAUGUAGUAAUUUUCGGCGGCCUGUAGGGGCGCUGUGCUCCAGGCUUUUCUCUCUGCGUUCAUGUGGUGCUGCUUGGUGCACAGAGGCGGCGGGAAAAGAAGCGAACUGUGAGGAAGCAGCAGCAGCAGGAGCAGCUGUGUGCGCUCAGGCUGCGCAGCUUUUACGCAUAUCAGUCAUGUCUGUGGCAACAACUCACCAAGACCUCUAGAGAAGAUAAAACUAAAGGAAGACUGACAUAAGACCACCAGACACAAGAACAGCUUCUUCCCCUCUGCCUUAUAAACAACUGAGCCAUUCCUCCACACUUGUAUAUACAGAAUACCAAUAUGUACAGCACUUUUGCUUUUUGCACUGUAUCAUCAUCAUUUUGCACUACUAUGUUUAAAUAUGCCUUCCUAGCUUGUAAAUAUCUGUAUAUAUUGUGUUCAAUUUAUUUGUAUUACUAUUAUCCCCCCCCCCCGUUCUUCUUUCUUUAGUUCAUUUUUAAUUAUUAUUCUCUUUCCAUAUUCCUAGGAUCACACCAACAGCCCAAACCAAAUUCCUUGUAUGUUGUACGUGGCCAUCAAAGCUGAUUUUGAUCAAACAAAAAUCUAAUAAAAUGGCACGAUCAAUUUUUUA
Molecule: long non-coding RNA, 2922 nt
Organism: Amphiprion ocellaris (clown anemonefish)
Lineage: Eukaryota; Metazoa; Chordata; Actinopteri; Pomacentridae
Exons: 4
Source: RefSeq, a predicted model, not a curated record